This 254-nucleotide ribosomal RNA is filed under the name uncultured bacterium. RNAcentral's name for it is "partial 16S ribosomal RNA". It matches the Rfam family "Bacterial small subunit ribosomal RNA", at positions 524 to 776 of the family's 1533-position model. The record is from RNAcentral.
GACGAACCGUGCGAACGUUAUUCGGAAUCAUUGGGCUUAAAGCGCGUGUAGGCGGAUUCGUGCGUCUGUCGUUGAAAUCCCCCGGCUCAACCGGGGAAGUGGCGCGGAUACGACGAGUCUGGAGGGGCAUAGGGGGACCUGGAACUUCCGGUGGAGCGGUGAAAUGCGUUGAGAUCGGAAGGAACGCCCGUGGCGAAAGCGAGGUCCUGGAUGCCUACUGACGCUGAGACGCGAAAGCCAGGGGAGCGAACGGG